CGGACGGGUGAGUAACACGUGGAUAACCUACCUAUAAGACUGGGAUAACUUCGGGAAACCGGAGCUAAUACCGGAUAACAUAUUGAACCGCAUGGUUCAAUAGUGAAAGACGGUUUUGCUGUCACUUAUAGAUGGAUCCGCGCCGCAUUAGCUAGUUGGUAAGGUAACGGCUUACCAAGGCAACGAUGCGUAGCCGACCUGAGAGGGUGAUCGGCCACACUGGAACUGAGACACGGUCCAG
RNAcentral lists this ribosomal RNA (241 nucleotides) under uncultured Staphylococcus sp. Its description in RNAcentral is "partial 16S ribosomal RNA". It matches the Rfam family "Bacterial small subunit ribosomal RNA", at positions 99 to 334 of the family's 1533-position model. Lineage: Bacteria; Bacillati; Bacillota; Bacilli; Caryophanales; Staphylococcaceae. The record is from RNAcentral.